AGUACUGCGCCGGGGAUGAUCGGGCCAGAUUGAUGUUUUGGGAUUCGAGGUUAAAGUAUACCUUCAGUGCUA
This 72-nucleotide transfer RNA is filed under the name Cucullaea labiata. Its description in RNAcentral is "tRNA-Ile". Lineage: Eukaryota; Metazoa; Mollusca; Bivalvia; Arcoida; Cucullaeidae. The record is from RNAcentral.